RNAcentral lists this ribosomal RNA (750 nucleotides) under uncultured Rhizobium sp. RNAcentral describes it as "bacterial SSU rRNA". It matches the Rfam family "Bacterial small subunit ribosomal RNA", at positions 8 to 753 of the family's 1533-position model. The record is from RNAcentral. Lineage: Bacteria; Pseudomonadati; Pseudomonadota; Alphaproteobacteria; Hyphomicrobiales; Rhizobiaceae.
AGAGUUUGAUCCUGGCUCAGANNNNNCGCUGGCGGCAGGCCUAACACAUGCAAGUCGAGCGGUAGAGAGAAGCUUGCUUUUCUUGAGAGCGGCGGACGGGUGAGUAAUGCCUAGGAAUCUGCCUGGUAGUGGGGGAUAACGUUCGGAAACGAACGCUAAUACCGCAUACGUCCUACGGGAGAAAGCGGGGGACCUUCGGGCCUUGCGCUAUCAGAUGAGCCUAGGUCGGAUUAGCUAGUUGGUGAGGUAAUGGCUCACCAAGGCGACGAUCCGUAACUGGUCUGAGAGGAUGAUCAGUCACACUGGAACUGAGACACGGUCCAGACUCCUACGGGAGGCAGCAGUGGGGAAUAUUGGACAAUGGGCGAAAGCCUGAUCCAGCCAUGCCGCGUGUGUGAAGAAGGUCUUCGGAUUGUAAAGCACUUUAAGUUGGGAGGAAGGGCCAUUACCUAAUACGUGAUGGUUUUGACGUUACCGACAGAAUAAGCACCGGCUAACUCUGUGCCAGCAGCCGCGGUAAUACAGAGGGUGCAAGCGUUAAUCGGAAUUACUGGGCGUAAAGCGCGCGUAGGUGGUUUGUUAAGUUGGAUGUGAAAGCCCCGGGCUCAACCUGGGAACUGCAUUCAAAACUGACAAGCUAGAGUAUGGUAGAGGGUGGUGGAAUUUCCUGUGUAGCGGUGAAAUGCGUAGAUAUAGGAAGGAACACCAGUGGCGAAGGCGACCACCUGGACUGAUACUGACACUGAGGUG